RNAcentral lists this ribosomal RNA (497 nucleotides) under uncultured bacterium. RNAcentral's name for it is "partial 16S ribosomal RNA". It matches the Rfam family "Bacterial small subunit ribosomal RNA", at positions 28 to 507 of the family's 1533-position model. The record is from RNAcentral.
GAUGAACGCUGGCGGCGUGCCUAAUACAUGCAAGUCGAGCGAACAGACGAGGAGCUUGCUCCUCUGACGUUAGCGGCGGACGGGUGAGUAACACGUGGAUAACCUACCUAUAAGACUGGGAUAACUUCGGGAAACCGGAGCUAAUACCGGAUAAUAUAUUGAACCGCAUGGUUCAAUAGUGAAAGACGGUUUUGCUGUCACUUAUAGAUGGAUCCGCGCCGCAUUAGCUAGUUGGUAAGGUAACGGCUUACCAAGGCAACGAUGCGUAGCCGACCUGAGAGGGUGAUAGGCCACACUGGAGCUGAGACACGGUCCAGACUCCUACGGGAGGCAGCAGUAGGGAAUCUUCCGCAAUGGGCGAAAGCUUGACGGAGCAACGCCGCGUGAGUGAUGAAGGUCUUCGGAUCGUAAAACUCUGUUAUUAGGGAAGAACAAAUGUGUAAGUAACUAUGCACGUCUUGACGGUACCUAAUCAGAAAGCCACGGCUAACUACGUG